GAAUUCACUAGUGAUUCAGGCCUAACACAUGCAAGUCGAGCGGUAGAGAGAAGCUUGCUUCUCUUGAGAGCGGCGGACGGGUGAGUAAUGCCUAGGAAUCUGCCUGGUAGUGGGGGAUAACGUUCGGAAACGGACGCUAAUACCGCAUACGUCCUACGGGAGAAAGCAGGGGACCUUCGGGCCUUGCGCUAUCAGAUGAGCCUAGGUCGGAUUAGCUAGUUGGUGAGGUAAUGGCUCACCAAGGCUACGAUCCGUAACUGGUCUGAGAGGAUGAUCAGUCACACUGGAACUGAGACACGGUCCAGACUCCUACGGGAGGCAGCAGUGGGGAAUAUUGGACAAUGGGCGAAAGCCUGAUCCAGAAAGGCCGCGUGUGUGAAGAAGGUCUUCGGAUUGUAAAACAAUGGAAGUUGGGAGGAAGGGCAUUAACCUAAUACGUUAGUG
This 444-nucleotide ribosomal RNA is filed under the name uncultured bacterium. RNAcentral describes it as "bacterial SSU rRNA". It matches the Rfam family "Bacterial small subunit ribosomal RNA", at positions 34 to 471 of the family's 1533-position model. The record is from RNAcentral.